UAAGAGGUCCCGCCUGCCCAGUGACUGAUUCAGUUUAACGGCCGCGGUAUUCUGACCGUGCAAAGGUAGCGUAAUCACUUGUCUUUUAAAUGGAGACCUGUAUGAAUGGCACAACGAGGGCUUAGCUGUCUCCUCUUUCAAGUCAAUGAAAUUGAUCUCCCCGUGCAGAAGCGGGGAUAACAACAUAAGACGAGAAGACCCUAUGGAGCUUUAGACACCCAGGACAGCCCAUGUUUAAACAACCCUAAAUAAAUGGAUUAAACCAAAUGAGACCUGCCCUCUGUCUUCGGUUGGGGCGACCAUGGGGAAACAAAAAACCCCCACGUGGACUGGGGACACAUACCUCCCACCCCCUCCCCACAAACAAGAGCUACAACUCUAACAAACAGAACUUCUGACCAAAAAUGAUCCGGCAACGCCGAUCAACGGACCAAGUUACCCUAGGGAUAACAGCGCAAUCCCCUUUUAGAGCCCAUAUCGACAAGGGGGUUUACGACCUCGAUGUUGGAUCAGGACAUCCUAAUGGCGCAGCCACUAUUAAGGGUUCGUUUGUUCAACG
Molecule: ribosomal RNA, 559 nt
Filed under: Mene maculata
Lineage: Eukaryota; Metazoa; Chordata; Actinopteri; Menidae
Description: partial 16S ribosomal RNA
Rfam family: Bacterial large subunit ribosomal RNA
Source: RNAcentral